UAGGGAAUCUUCCACAAUGGACGCAAGUCUGAUGGAGCAACGCCGCGUGAGUGAAGAAGGUUUUCGGAUCGUAAAGCUCUGUUGUUGGUGAAGAAGGAUAGAGGCAGUAACUGGUCUUUAUUUGACGGUAAUCAACCAGAAAGUCACGGCUAACUACGUGCCAGCAGCCGCGGUAAUACGUAGGUGGCAAGCGUUGUCCGGAUUUAUUGGGCGUAAAGCGAGCGCAGGCGGAAUGAUAAGUCUGAUGUGAAAGCCCACGGCUCAACCGUGGAACUGCAUCGAAAACUGUCAUUCUUGAGUGAAGAAGAGGAGAGUGGAAUUCCAUGGGUAGCGGUGGAAUGCGUAGAAAUAUGGAAGAACACCAGUGGCGAAGGCGUCUCUCUGGUCUGCAACUGACGCUGAGGCUCGAAAGCAUGGGUAGCGAACAGG
Molecule: ribosomal RNA, 429 nt
Filed under: Bacillota bacterium
Lineage: Bacteria; Bacillati; Bacillota
Description: Firmicutes bacterium partial 16S ribosomal RNA
Rfam family: Bacterial small subunit ribosomal RNA
Source: RNAcentral